This 274-nucleotide ribosomal RNA is filed under the name uncultured bacterium. RNAcentral's name for it is "partial 16S ribosomal RNA". It matches the Rfam family "Bacterial small subunit ribosomal RNA", at positions 523 to 796 of the family's 1533-position model. The record is from RNAcentral.
AUACGGAGGGUGCAAGCGUUACUCGGAAUCGCAGGGCGUAAAGCGCGCGCAGGCGGGCUGAUAAGUUGGAUGUGAAAGCCUACGGCUCAACCGUAGAACUGCAUCCAAAACUGUCAGUCUAGAGUGUGGGAGAGGAAGUUGGAAUUAGUUGUGUAGGGGUAAAAUCCGUAGAGAUAACUAGGGAUACCAAAAGCGAAGGCAAUCUUCUGGAACACUACUGACGCUGAGGCGCGAAGGCGUGGGGAGCAAACAGGAUUAGAAACCCCGGUAGUCC